CUAUCCAGAAUCAUCAGUAUCUACAAAGUACAAAAGCGCCAUUCAAAUAACCUGGAAAGUGGUAUCAGAUCCUAUCACUGUAAAUAAUCUUGGCUCAUUUUUAGAUCGCACACAGAUGCUAUACAAUUGAGCUGUUGCACAAUACUCCCUCCAAUCAUAAAUUCUUAUCGUUUGAACUAAGACCACGACAAGAAUUUAGGAACGGAGGGAGCAUCUCUGAGAAAAAUAGGUAAAACAAAUAUGAGCAGGUUAUGAUAUUGAAGUACAAAAAAAAAACACCAUGUUAUAGCGGAGGACGUAAAAAUCCUGCUCUUUUUGUAGAAGCCUACAAGGUCACAUGUUCAUAUUAAAAUGAGGAGAGAUAACAUAGCGAGGUUACAAGUGUUAUCGAUAUUAAAAUGAGGAGAGAUAGCAAAACGAGAGAUACUGCUUAUGUCAUGGGUCUCAAGAUUGCACAUACGUUUCUAGCUUUAGAAAUCUGAUCUUUUAUCUAAAAAGGUUGCUUGCAUCUCUUGCUUAAGGAUAGACAAACCAGCAAAAAAAAUAUAUUUGGAUGCUAAUUUAUUUUCAUAUUGACAGAGCAGCCUUUCUACCCUUUUGUCCACUACCAGCUCUUCUCUUUGCUAAUUUGGUGGGGUCUACUUCAGGUUGUUGUUUGAGGUUACACUCACUAGCAAGAUUUAUUGUUGCUACUUCCUCCAUUCUAAAAUACACCUCAUAUUAAGAUGUGCACUUAGACCAAGGCAUCUCUCGUUUCUAGUGUCUGACCACUCAUAUUGGGUUAAUAAUAAAUAGAUGUGAGUAGUUAUUGGCCGGGUGCGGAUACCAAGAGAAAAAUGAGGUGUAUUGUGGGACAAAUGAAAAAAAUCUAUACACGUUGUAUUGUGAAAUGGAGAAAGUACUUUGCAAGGUCCUGCCGUUUUGUCCUGCUACCCAACACCUCUUUGGUAAGUGGUGUGUGUUAUCAUACUAGGCUUUGCAGUUACUACAUCUGAGUAGUUAUGGUCAAUAUUGGUUAGGCUUUGUGUUGCAAGAAAAAUCUGAUUUAAUUCAAACUCUUCUGCCACAAAUUACAAAUUCCUGAUUUCAUUUCAGAUGGGGCAUGCUUGGCAUUCUUUACCAACAUAGGUAACUAUCAUGCAAUCUAUUGAUUCUCACAUGUGUUCAUUAACCCAAAGAUGACAUGGAUAAUAGAAUAAAGAGUUUUAAAUACAUGUAUGCCUCCUUCACUGUAGGAUGAGAUCCUUGGUUUUCUGUUAUCAAUAGCUCCACUUGAUAAGAACUGUUCUUAGUUGACUGGUUGUGUUCCUCUAACACUAAUCAUAUACAUUUACCUGCUGACUUAAUUUUAUUGAUUUGUUUCAUUUGCACUUUUACAGCUUUGUAUAGCAGUAGGCCAUCAUGUAUCUAUAAUAUUGGUAAUCUCAAUUUGUCAAGGUGAGAUGGACUUUACUUUUUCUGCUUAGGAUACCAUCGUUGCCUCCCACAUAGAAAUAAAUACAUUAAUAAUUUGAAAAAAGAAGCCCAUAACUACAUGCUUUCUUCUGGAGUCUCGAUAAGAAGCACAAUUUUGAAGGGCCCAAAUAUAUGUGUUCAAUUCUCUUUUGCUUGCACUACCUGUUCUCCACAUAUAUUUGUUGGUUCUGAUAUAUCGGAUGCUUGUGAGACAAAUCAAGACAAGGAAUGUCGGAGAUGAUGUUGGAUCCGACUCUGAAAACGAAUUCAACAUGAAGAUUAAUUGUUGUAACACCUUCUUUAGAUGUUGCCGUGAUGAUGUAGGAGAACAUCAAACAUCACUAUCCAGCUUAGUCAUGUGUUAUUUUCCUGGAUUGUGGCCGGAUUAUGUAUUGUUUUGGAUUCACAUGUGUAUAUAGUAAUUAUGUUCUUUUAGUUUUCGGUUAUCCACUUCUCUUGGACUUUAUUGGUUUCUUUUUCUAUCCUUGUCUGGAAGAGAUGCUAAGGUGAGGAGAGGAGGGGUUUAUUUCCUGGUUAAGUUUUCGGGCCUGACUAAACUGGCGAACCUUCGCCAACAUCCAAAUUGGUGGACGAAUUCCGAUGGUCCUGAAAUGAGUUGCUGUUUCAUACUUUUCGAUGGUGCCCAGUGAGUGACUAUAGACAUCCAUUGGCCGAGUGCGCCGCCCGACGCCGCACCCUCGCACGCCACCGCCCGCCGCCAGCCGCUCCUGCUUGCUUGCCGCCGCCUCGCACGCCGCCGGAAGUCGCUGCUCGCGCCGCCGCCUCCUCGCCCGCUGCCACCCGCUGCUCGCUGCGCCGCCUCCAGCCCUCAACGCUACCGCCCGCUGCUGCUGCCUGCGAGCGCCGACCUCCGUUGCUGCUCGCCGGAGGGAGAAGGGAAAGAGAAGAGAGGAGGAAGAAGGGAGGGAGGCACAGGAGGGCGCGCGCCGGCCUCCGCUGCUGCAGUCCGGCGCCGCCACGCGACUGCUGGCUCCGGGUCGCUGCUGCUCCGCCCCGCCUGCUCCACUGGCCCCAGCUCACCGUUGCUGCCCGCCGCUGGUCGCUGCUCGCGUGCGUGGAGAGGGCGCUCAGGUCGCAGGCAGAGAGAGAGAGAGAAAAGCAUCCAUGGCGGUCUGCUUCUGUACUCACGCGCAGGAGAUAAAGACAGGUAGGGGAGGAAGUUGCGUGGAUUGCAGAGGAGAGAGAGGAGAAAAAAAAAAAGAAGAGAAAGUGAACAUAGACAGUCAGAUCUGGGGGGCUCGAUCUCGCCACAUCAUCGAUAUGUGGCGGGUCACCUAGAUCGUUGCCGUUGCAAACUGUCUUUUUCGGAGGCCAGACUGUCGGCAAAGAUGAUUUCGUCGUUACCUCUGGGGAGGACAAUUUUUUUUUGCAUGUACACGUUUGAUAAGAUGUAUCUUGUUUUAAUUUUUGUGUAUUGAUUUGGAUUUUUAUACUAGGCUUAUACAAACAUAACAUGGCACCAUGCAAAAAAUUGUAAAUGUUUGGUAAAGUUUAGUAUCAUUUCAUUUUUUUCCUAUUAAA
This is a long non-coding RNA of Brachypodium distachyon (stiff brome), 2997 nucleotides long. RefSeq lists it as uncharacterized. The transcript has 2 exons. Lineage: Eukaryota; Viridiplantae; Streptophyta; Magnoliopsida; Poales; Poaceae. The record is from RefSeq and is a predicted model, not a curated record.